UACGGGGGAUGCAAGCGUUAUCCGGAUUUAUUGGGUUUAAAGGGUGCGUAGGCUGUGAGGUAAGUCAGCGGUGAAAUGCCCCCGCUCAACGGGGUGAAGUGCCAUUGAUACUGCCUUGCUGGAAUGCGGAUGCCGUGGGAGGAAUGUGUGGUGUAGCGGUGAAAUGCAUAGAUAUCACACAGAACACCGAUUGCGAUGGCAUCUCACGAAUCCGCGAUUGACGCUGAUGCACGAAAGCGUGGGUAUCAAACAGG
RNAcentral lists this ribosomal RNA (254 nucleotides) under uncultured bacterium. RNAcentral describes it as "partial 16S ribosomal RNA". It matches the Rfam family "Bacterial small subunit ribosomal RNA", at positions 524 to 776 of the family's 1533-position model. The record is from RNAcentral.